ACUAUUAUUUACCCACCCCGAAAAACAAAUUGUAUUGUAUAUAUAGAGAAUUAUAUAACCACUCACUGCCAAUUUGAAACCACAAUUAAACCUCUCAUUGUUCUGGAAAUCUCCCUCCCUCAACCAAAAAUUGGAAAAAACCUAACAGGAGAAAAAGAAAAGCCAAACGUAGAAAGAGAGAGAGAGAGAGAGAGGAAUUCGAGGCGAUGCGAUCGUGGUGGCUGCGGCUUUGGGGCAGCCCAUACGCGGCGGUGCUGGCGGUAGAGGAAGAAGAAUUAGGUCGUUAAUGGCCUAUUUGCUGCAAAUGAAUUGGCAGCCGAAUCUGCUCAGCCAGAGACGCAAAACUGGUCCUCCGUUAGGGCUCAAAAACCUUGGCAAUACCUGUUAUCUCAACUCGGUUCUUCAGUGCCUCACUUACACCCCUCCCCUUGCCUUUUUCUGCCUCCAAUCUCAACAUUCCUCUUCUUGUGAUUCUGGAGCUGCAGCUGCUUCAGAGAAGAAGAGUGAAUGUCCUUUCUGCAUAUUAGAGAAGCGAAUAGCUAGGUCUUUGAGUCUUGAAUCAGCCCUAGAUACUCCGUCUAAGAUUAAUCAUUGCUUAAAGAUUUUUGCCCAGCAUUUUAGGUAUGGGAGACAAGAGGAUGCCCAUGAAUUCUUGCGCUAUGUCAUUGACGCUUGCCACAACACCUGUUUGCGGUUGAAGAAGUUGCAGCAGCAAAGAAGGAAGGGUGGUGGUGCCGAUGGGAAUGGAAAUACCAUUGUUAAGGAAAUCUUCGGGGGUGCUUUACAGAGCCAGGUCAAGUGCUUGUCAUGUGGUGCUGAGUCAAAUAAGGUGGACGAGAUCAUGGAUAUAAGUCUUGAUGUGUUGCACAGUAGCUCCCUCAAAGAUGCUAUGCAGAGAUUUUUUCGGCCCGAGGUUUUGGAUGGCAACAAUAAGUACAAGUGUGAGAACUGUAAGAAAUUGGUGACAGCAAGGAAGCAAAUGUCGAUUCAUCAAGCGCCAAAUGUUCUUGUCAUUCAGCUCAAGAGGUUUGAAGGAAUAUAUGGUGGGAAGAUCGAUAAGCCUAUUGCUUUUGAGGAGUUUCUAGUGCUUUCAAGCUACAUGUGCAAAGCGAGUCAGGAUCCUCAUCCAGAAUACAAUCUUUUUGGAACUAUUGUCCACUCAGGCUUUUCACCGGAUUCAGGGCAUUAUUAUGCAUAUAUCAAGGAUGCUGUGGGUCGUUGGUACUGCUGUAAUGAUUCUUUUGUUUCUCUUUCAACCUUGCAAGAAGUGUUGUCAGAGAAGGUGUACAUCCUUUUCUUCUCUCGUACCAAGCAGAGGUCACCACUCACCAAGACAUGUUUAUCAGUUAAUGGGUCAAAGUUCAAUCAUUCCAAUGGCUUGGCUAGAUCCAAAAUCUCGACCUGUGACUUAGCAAAACCAGAAAAUGGCAAACACGUUUUAGGCCACCCCUCUGAGAAAGAAAAUGUAAUGACUUUUAAGGUCAGUAAAGUGCAUUCGAGCCCAGUGAGGGAGUUGAGCAUAUUUGAAAGAUCUUCCAUCAAGAAGAUACCUUCUUCUGGGAAUAUCAAAAUUGUUGUUCAUCAAAGAGAAUCUGACAAUAGAAAUGGUGAUGUGAGAGCAUCAGUUCUUACAGAGAAAGAGGUUACAUCAUUGCCAGACAGGAACGGUAUUAGGAAAAGUUGUGGUAAUGGUCAUAUGACAAGAUCACAUGCCUUAACACACGGAAAUGGGAAACUUCCGGGUGUAGCAACCAGCUCUGUAGCAGACGGUCCCCAUAAAGAUUAUGGUUUGAGUAAUGGAAAGACUGCAGGAAGGGAUUCAUCUGCCAAAGAGGCAAAUGGAAAUGGCAAAAUCCAGAGUGUCGCAACUAAUCCCUUAAGGGGAAAUGUGCGUAAAAAUAAUGGGGAGAAUAAUGAAAAGGCAGCUGAGGUGACUUCUGUACAAAAGGAGAUGUCAAAUGGCCGUGUUGAAUCCUCUUCUAUCUCAGGUUCAAAGAGAAAAUUACCAGAUGACUGCAUCCUGCUUGAGCAAGAUGCUCAGUCUCGUGCGAAGGUGGAAGAAUUAAAAAAGGAGCUCCAUAAGGAGGCUUCAUUAGUUUUAAGAACGUGUGGUUGGUCGGAAGAAGUCUAUGCUUUUAUGCAUUCCAAGAAAUCGGGGGCACAAGCAGACAAUGAAGCAUCAGACUUUAAUGUGAAGAAGAGGUUAUUAAUUGCAGAUGCCAAAUCAAUGUUUAUCUCACGAAUUCCUGAAUCAUUGAAGGGUAGUCUUAUCAAACGCCUAACAUCAAUUAGUCAAGGAAAACCACCCUCCAGUACUUAAGCACUCACACAUGGUAUGUGCAGAAGCAUAGUGGUCUUUUCAGGUUUCGAGUCCAUCGACGGUGGUGCUGAUUUGCUUGGUCUGUAUUUUUUGUCACUCGGAGAUGUGAUGUUAGUUUGUGGUAAUGUGGUUGCGAAUGGAUUGCUAGUGCAGUAUAUACCAUGGCGGAGAAGGUAGCACAUGAUAAGUUGUCUUUGAUUUUGUUCACUUCGCCAUUGUGUGUCCGAAUGGUGUUCUGUGUUCUAUCAGUUAAAAGAGGAAAUCAUAGCACUAACAUCGUAUUCUGGUUGCGAAUUUCCUUGCGAGACUAGAGUCUGCCGAUAGAACACGUAAAUUCUAUUCGUGCUGUACGACAUGCCCUUUUUGGCCUUUGCUGAGCAUGUAUUCCUCAUUUUAUGGAUGCUUAACAAUUUUUCCAUAAAAUUGUGGUCGGGUUGUAUUCUUGUCUAGAGUUGAGGUUUUACUUUUAAACAGACAUGAUAAUACCACUAGAUAAUUGUUAAGGUAAUUCCAUAUUCAUAGUUUUGUAACCCAAAUUUCUUGUACGUACUGCUAUCAUAUGUUCCUCGUCUCUGUUGAGUCUAUACUAGGAAAAAAUAAUGGGUGUUCCUUCUAGCAAUUUAUUUGCAGCUGUUUGUUAUUGAA
RNA transcript from Nicotiana tabacum (common tobacco), 2965 nucleotides. It is a transcript of the gene named ubiquitin carboxyl-terminal hydrolase 25-like, with no coding region annotated. The record is from RefSeq and is a predicted model, not a curated record. NCBI's taxonomy places the organism in Eukaryota, Viridiplantae, Streptophyta, Magnoliopsida, Solanales, Solanaceae.